GACGAACCGUGCGAACGUUGUUCGGAAUCACUGGGCUUAAAGGGCGCGUAGGCGGGCGACCAAGUCCGGGGUGAAAGCUCCCGGCUCAACCGGGAAAGUGCCUUGGAUACUGGUCGUCUUGAGGGAGAUAGGGGCGAGUGGAACUUCCGGUGGAGCGGUGAAAUGCGCAGAUAUCAGGAGGAACACCAACGGCGAAGGCAGCUCGCUGGGACGGUACUGACGCUGAGGCGCGAAAGCGUGGGGAGCAAACAGG
Molecule: ribosomal RNA, 253 nt
Filed under: uncultured bacterium
Lineage: Bacteria
Description: partial 16S ribosomal RNA
Rfam family: Bacterial small subunit ribosomal RNA
Source: RNAcentral